Molecule: ribosomal RNA, 253 nt
Filed under: uncultured bacterium
Lineage: Bacteria
Description: partial 16S ribosomal RNA
Rfam family: Bacterial small subunit ribosomal RNA
Source: RNAcentral
UACGUAGGUGGCAAGCGUUGUCCGGAUUUAUUGGGUUUAAAGGGUGCGUAGGCGGCCCCAUAAGUCAGUGCUGAAAUACUCUAGCUCAACUAGAGGGGUGGCAUUGAUACUGCGGGGCUUGAGUGGAGUCGAGGUAGGCGGAAUUGACGGUGUAGCGGUGAAAUGCUUAGAUAUCGUCAAGAACACCGAUAGUGUAGACAGCUUACUAGGCUUCAACUGACGCUGAGGCACGAAAGCUAGGGGAGCAAACGGG